This 331-nucleotide unclassified non-coding RNA is filed under the name soil metagenome. RNAcentral's name for it is "partial contains 5.8S ribosomal RNA, internal transcribed spacer 2, and large subunit ribosomal RNA". The stretch from base 1 to 120 matches the Rfam family "5.8S ribosomal RNA", at positions 35 to 154 of the family's 154-position model. The record is from RNAcentral.
GAUGAAGAACGCAGCAAAAUGCGAUAAGUAAUGUGAAUUGCAGAAUUCAGUGAAUCAUCGAAUCUUUGAACGCACAUUGCGCCCGCCAGUAUUCUGGCGGGCAUGCCUGUUCGAGCGUCAUUUCAACCCUCAAGCACAGCUUGGUGUUGGGACUCGCGUUAAUUCGCGUUCCUCAAAUUGAUUGGCGGUCACGUCGAGCUUCCAUAGCGUAGUAGUAAAACCCUCGUUACUGGUAAUCGUCGCGGCCACGCCGUUAAACCCCAACUUCUGAAUGUUGACCUCGGAUCAGGUAGGAAUACCCGCUGAACUUAAGCAUAUCAAUAGCGGAGGA